This is a non-coding RNA of Theobroma cacao (cacao), 199 nucleotides long. The record is from RefSeq and is a predicted model, not a curated record. Lineage: Eukaryota; Viridiplantae; Streptophyta; Magnoliopsida; Malvales; Malvaceae.
AGCAUCCAGUGCUGAACCAGUGAACAUUACUUCUUUAUCUCCACAGAAUGAAGCCGCUAGUCCUAGUGCUGCCAGCUUUUCUCAUCCAAGGCAAAUUAAAAAUUCAGUCUAUGAUCCAAUAUAUGAGGGGCUUGGGCUGCCAAUUGAUCCCCAUUUGAGGAUGUUUGCUAGCCGUAACUUGAUGGGAUGACAUGUCGGG